UGACAUUGUUUAACGGCCGCGGUAUUUUGACCGUGCGAAGGUAGCGCAAUCAAUUGUCUCUUAAAUGGAGACCAGUAUGAAUGGCAUCACGAGGGCUUAACUGUCUCCCCUUUAAAGUCAAUGAAAUUGAUCUCCCCGUGCAGAAGCGGGGAUAUACUCGUAAGACGAGAAGACCCUAUGGAGCUUUAGAUAUAAAGCGACUUAUGUCAAACGCCCCUUCCAAAGGAAUUGAACAAAAUGAGCCCCGCCGGAAUA
Molecule: ribosomal RNA, 255 nt
Filed under: Notoscopelus resplendens (patchwork lampfish)
Lineage: Eukaryota; Metazoa; Chordata; Actinopteri; Myctophiformes; Myctophidae
Description: partial 16S ribosomal RNA
Rfam family: Archaeal large subunit ribosomal RNA
Source: RNAcentral